This 860-nucleotide ribosomal RNA is filed under the name uncultured bacterium. Its description in RNAcentral is "bacterial SSU rRNA". It matches the Rfam family "Bacterial small subunit ribosomal RNA", at positions 9 to 873 of the family's 1533-position model. The record is from RNAcentral.
AGAGUUUGAUCAUGGCUCAGGAUGAACGCUAGCGGCAGGCUUAACACAUGCAAGUCGAGGGGUAUAGGUUUUCGGACCUAGAGACCGGCGCACGGGUGCGUAACGCGUAUGCAAUCUACCUUUUACAGAGGGAUAGCCCAGAGAAAUUUGGAUUAAUACCUCAUAGUAUUAUUUAAUGGCAUCAUUUAAUAAUUAAAGUUCCAACGGUAAAAGAUGAGCAUGCGUCCCAUUAGCUAGAUGGUAAGGUAACGGCUUACCAUGGCGACGAUGGGUAGGGGUCCUGAGAGGGAGAUCCCCCACACUGGUACUGAGACACGGACCAGACUCCUACGGGAGGCAGCAGUGAGGAAUAUUGGUCAAUGGGCGCAAGCCUGAACCAGCCAUGCCGCGUGCAGGAUGACGGUCCUAUGGAUUGUAAACUGCUUUUGUACAGGAAGAAACAGUUCUACGUGUAGAACCUUGACGGUACUGUAAGAAUAAGGAUCGGCUAACUCCGUGCCAGCAGCCGCGGUAAUACGGAGGAUCCAAGCGUUAUCCGGAAUCAUUGGGUUUAAAGGGUCCGUAGGCGGGUUUGUAAGUCAGUGGUGAAAGCCCAUCGCUCAACGGUGGAACGGCCAUUGAUACUGCAAGACUUGAAUUACUAGGAAGUAACUAGAAUAUGUAGUGUAGCGGUGAAAUGCUUAGAUAUUACAUGGAAUACCAAUUGCGAAGGCAGGUUACUACUAGUGGAUUGACGCUGAUGGACGAAAGCGUGGGGAGCGAACAGGAUUAGAUACCCUGGUAGUCCACGCCGUAAACGAUGGAUACUAGCUGUUCGGAGCAAUCUGAGUGGCUAAGCGAAAGUGAUAAGUAUCCCACCU